Molecule: long non-coding RNA, 1068 nt
Organism: Oxyura jamaicensis (ruddy duck)
Lineage: Eukaryota; Metazoa; Chordata; Aves; Anseriformes; Anatidae
Exons: 6
Source: RefSeq, a predicted model, not a curated record
CCCUGCAACUUGGGGGUUUAUCUCUUUCUGUGUCUCAUUUUCCCUCUGCAUAUCAAACAUUACCUGAAGUGUAGUAGAAGGCUGGAAGAAUGACACUUGCUAAUUUGAAUUUCAGAACACACCUAAACGACAUUCUGAUCUUCAGAUAUCAGAUUGAGACACAGUCUGGUCAACCAAAAUUUAGAAGUCUGAGUUCCUCAUAGAGUCGGUGGAAAGGGAUGGUUGAUGUAUUCCUUGAUGUGCAAUAACCUGCAGUGGUCACAGAGCUCCAUGUGAGGAUUUACCAACUCUGAGAAGAGUGGAAGAAAUAUUUUAAGAGGAUAGGCAAUAAACAUUGCAUUUAUUAGCUUCUUGUGAGUAAAUAUUUAUCUAUCACUCCUUGGCUGUAUGCUACUAUUGCACAUUCAGCGCUCCCUGACUCACCUAUACUAUGUGGUCUGCAAACACUCAUAAGAAAAUUUUUCACCACAUGGCAAGACAGACAUGACAGUGAGUUCUGGGAAUGCAAAGUAGCUUCAAUGGAGUUAUAGAAGGGAGGACCAUGGCCCAUUACCUCUUGGAAUUUCCUGAUUUGAGGGGUUGAUUGAGCAACCUAAAUGCUGCAUUUGAGCUAGCUUCUACCUGGCUAGGAGGCUAAGGCAGUGUGGUCAGCAUUGGUGGGGAUGGAAGGGAACAGAGCUGCAGCUGUGUCACACAGUGAUGGAACCUAGAGCAGGACGAUAUGUGUCAAUGCAGUAUUGCAUGGUGAGAUUUGGCACAUGGACUGUGCAUACAGCAUGUGUUCAGUACAUGUAACGUGGUUGUAGUGUGUGGGAUAUAUUGCACGGACUGACUGGUUAUGUACAGCUCACUGAUUUUUGUUAUUGAAUCCUCCUCUCAAAAAGUUAAACAUGGUGAACAGUGAAGACAAAACUUUUGUUAAAACCUCCAACAGCACAGCAUUUUGAAAGUUGCAGCAUAUAAACAUGGAAAUUUCAGAGCAGAUCAUCAUUUGGAAUAACAUUUCUGACUGCUGUUUUGACACUGUAUGCUCAUGCCAGUCUAUAAUGCUGACACAACUUUAGGAAC